CCUAAGGUGUUAAGACAAUACCGAUUUUUAGAAAAAGUUUUCCCAAGUCUUUUACAUCCUAUUAUAAACCUGUCUUAAAGCCUGAAUAUUCAAGAUGUACUGUUUUCUUGGCUAAAUUUUGUAAGGUUAAGGAAAUGGGGGAAAUAAGGAUACACUUACACGGAUGACUCGUCAGACACAUGUUAUUUUAUUGAAAGGAAAAAAAACAAGCAACUAAAACAUAAAACAUACUAAAAUUAAAAGAAAACGGUAAAAAGCGAUAAAAAUAAAGGAAA
RNAcentral lists this long non-coding RNA (275 nucleotides) under Lathyrus oleraceus (garden pea). RNAcentral describes it as "Pisum sativum (pea) long non-coding RNA (PSAT_LNC008599)". The record is from RNAcentral. Lineage: Eukaryota; Viridiplantae; Streptophyta; Magnoliopsida; Fabales; Fabaceae.